GAUGAAGAACGCAGCGAAAUGCGAUAAGUAAUGUGAAUUGCAGAAUCCAGUGAAUCAUCGAAUCUUUGAACGCACAUUGCGCCCGCCAGCAUUCUGGCGGGCAUGCCUGUUCGAGCGUCAUUUCAACCCUCGACCUCCCUUUGGGGAAGUCGGCGUUGGGGACCGGCAGCACACCGCCGGCCCUGAAAUGGAGUGGCGGCCCGUCCGCGGCGACCUCUGCGUAGUAAACCAACUCGCACCGGAACCCCGACGUGGCCACGCCGUAAAACACCCAACAUCUGAACGUUGACCUCGAAUCAGGUAGGACUACCCGCUGAACUUAAGCAUAUCAAUAAGCGGAGGA
This 343-nucleotide unclassified non-coding RNA is filed under the name soil metagenome. Its description in RNAcentral is "partial contains 5.8S ribosomal RNA, internal transcribed spacer 2, and large subunit ribosomal RNA". The stretch from base 1 to 120 matches the Rfam family "5.8S ribosomal RNA", at positions 35 to 154 of the family's 154-position model. The record is from RNAcentral.